GCCCUCGUAGCUUAAUGGUUAUGGCGCCAGACUUCUAAUCUGGAGGUUGCGAGUUCGAGUCUCGCCGUGGGUA
Molecule: non-coding RNA, 73 nt
Organism: Coprinopsis sp. MPI-PUGE-AT-0042
Lineage: Eukaryota; Fungi; Basidiomycota; Agaricomycetes; Agaricales; Psathyrellaceae
Source: the annotation of a GenBank genome assembly